GGUCAAGUGAAUAAGUGCAUACGGUGGAUGCCUAGGCGGUAGAAGGCGAUGAAGGACGUGGUAGUCUGCGAUAAGCCCCGGUUAGCUGACAAACUAGCUUUUACCCGGGGAUUUCCGAAUGGGGAAACCCGCCUGACCACUGAAUGGUCUUGUCGUUCGUUCACGAGACGGCGGAUCACAGGGCGAUUCAGUGGUCAGGCAUUGCUGUCUGAAUUCAUAGGACAGCAAAGCGAACUCGGGGAACUGAAACAUCUAAGUACCCGGAGGAAAAGAAAUCAACCGAGAUUCCCUCAGUAGCGGCGAGCGAACGGGGAACAGCCCUUAAGCUUCUAGCCUGCUAGUAGAAUGCUCUGGAAAGUGCAGCCGAAGACGGUGAUAGCCCGGUAUACGAAAGCUGGCAUGAAGUGAAAUCGAGUAGGACGGGACACGUGAAAUCCUGUCUGAACACGGGGGGACCAUCCUCCAAGGCUAAAUACUCUCUACCGACCGAUAGCGAACCAGUACCGUGAGGGAAAGGUGAAAAGAACCCUGGUAAAGGGAGUGAAAUAGAACCUGAAACCGUAUGCAUACAAGCAGUGGGAGCC
Molecule: ribosomal RNA, 584 nt
Filed under: Gammaproteobacteria bacterium
Lineage: Bacteria; Pseudomonadati; Pseudomonadota; Gammaproteobacteria
Description: partial 23S ribosomal RNA
Rfam family: Bacterial large subunit ribosomal RNA
Source: RNAcentral